AGUGAGCGAGCGAGCGGCUGCGCCGAUCUUUGUUCUUGUUGAGACAAAGCCCCUGGACUUGGGUCCCCGGUUCGUGCAGUCGGAUUAUUCGCUCUCCAGCAUCUUGGGUCACUACACCAGAGUUCUAUAAAAAGUUGCCUGUGAAAUUAAAACAACAACAACAACAACACAUGGAAUCCACUGCAUAGGUUCAAAAAAUAAGAGGAGCUGGUUUGUAACGGAAUGCUGUCUUCAUGCGCGCUCAGCCAUCGAGGCACAGAAUAAGCUGCGUCCGCAGCAGAUUUCUACGAUUAAAACGGUGGAUUGAGUGUUCAGGCCAGCAGGCAGUCCUUGUUUCAUGCAAUGGAGUGGACACAGUCCCCUGAUUUGCAGCUUUGAUCAGUCUACCCCAUGGGACUACCAGUAUUGGCCAGAAUCCUAUGUGACAGGUAUUGGCUUCAUCGGCUGUGACUCUAUGAAAACACGGUCCCAGGUGGGGUUAUGGCUGGCACUUGACCGCCCUUCCUUAUGAGAUCCCUGCUCAGAAGAUGUCCUGUAUUGUCCAAACCCAAGCACUACCCUUGUGCCUACAGCUUUUGUAAUAGCACAUUGAAGACAAAUUUGGCAUGGUGUCUCUUGUGUCCCCCAUCCCCACCCCCAAGGACUGUUUCAGUUCCAGCCCCAGUCCAAAUGCGCGGAAUCGCCCAAAAGAGGCAGUUCCAAAGUCAGCCUGCCCCAGACAUCACGCUCAACUUCACUGGUCAACUUUAAGUAAAGGGGGGGUGUGCAUCUCAAACUGUUAAGGACAGACUUCAGUUAAGCAAGGAAAAAAAAAGGAACUGAAAUGGUUCCCUUCUCUCCCUUUGCUUCCUCUCAACACCAUAUUCUUCCUCUUUCUGGUUCUGGUCACACCACUUGCUCUGAAUUUUAAAAGCAUACAAAAAUCCUGACCAGCAAAAUGUGGGGAGAUCACUCGCUAUAGCUCUCCUCUUCCCAGUUUCAUUAUUUCUUUUCUUGUCUGCUCAAGGCCUCUUCCAUCCAUUGGUCACCGCCUCAUUCCUGAAGCUUGUCAUACACCCCGUCUCCAGCCCGGUCGUAGGCCUGUCUCCCCGCUCCAUAAGUCUCAUUCACCUCAUCCCACUCACCCUACAUUAGAAAAAUCUAUCGGCUGGAUCCUCCUGUAUGCAGCUGUCACGAGGAGCGGGGAGUAAAAGAGUGUCCUGAAUUCUUGGAAAAUGACAGAAAAAUGAAACAGGAAAGAGGGGAAUUGUAAAAGGGGUGACUUGCCUGUCCUGUCUGCUCUGGGUCCUGGUGAUGGUUCUCUCCAGUUGAUUAAUGUAUGAAAGUUGCUUCAGGAGUUUCACUUGUGUGGUCGGCCUGCCUUGUACUCGGUGGCCUACCUGCUAUCUGCUACCGCUUCUUCCUACCAGAACUCCAGUUUUGUUCAGGGUCCAUCCCUCCCCCAGGCCAGUGUGCCUCAGGGUAAACUGACAUAUCCCCAAACUCUAGCCUGAAUGAUCUGAGGGUAACCCCAUUGCUUUUGCAACCAACCAGGUUGGUUUACUUCUUGGUUCAGGAAUGAGCUCAUGAGGCAAUUCUCGCCAAGGGGACAAGAAGGAAAGGAGCCAGAGGAGGAGUGAUUCUGGAAGGUUUCUCUCUUUUAAUACAGAACUAUACGGAGAGAUGUGGGUCGUUGUGGUUUCUUCCUUUGGGUGUUGUUUGUCUGCAUCUUAUGCUAGUUAUCUUACUAGCAGCCUGGGUCACCCUAAGCUGACCUUCCCCAUUUGAUGGGAUAAUAUUUCUAAUUUGAAGCCAAAAGCAGUCUAUAAGAGAGGGUCCUGUUUUGUGUUCUCUAUUGCUUGUUAUGCAAAACAAAUAAACCCCUGCUUGUUUAACCCUCAGUACACCAGUCAUCACCAACAGACUUUAUUUUUUCAUAUUUUUCAGCCAUUUGCAAAUCAUUUAUAAGGAGCAAGAAUAAAGGAUAGUGAAACAAUUUUAAAAUGAAUUUUAGGGACGCCUGGGUGGCUCAGCGGUUUGGGUGUCUGCUUUCGGCUCAGGGCGUGAUCCUGGGUCUGGGGAUCAAGUCCCACACCAGGCUCCCUGCACAGAGCCUGCUUCUCCCUCUGCCUAUGUCUCUGCCUCUGUUUGUCUCUCAUGAAUAAAUAAGUAGAAUCUUUUAAAAAUAAAUAUAUAAAUAAAUAAACUUUAAUAAUAAUUUAAACUUAGCAAAAUCAAAUUUUUAUCCUAUAUUUUUCUGCAAUUAGAGAAAUAUUACCCUGAGCGGGCCAUAUCCUUUAUUUUUUUAAAGUAAUUCCUGUGCGCGAUAUGGGGCUCAACUCUGAGAUCAAGAGUCAGACGCACGCUGUACUGACUGAGCCAGCCAGGUACCCCAGGCCGUAUCUGUUAAAUAUUACUAUGGGCAGCCCGGGUGGCUCAGCGGUUUAGCGCCGCCUUCGACCCAGGGCCUGAUCCUGGAGAUCCGGGAUCGAGUCCCAUGUUGGGCUCCCUGCAUGGAACCUGCUUCUCCCUCUGCCUGUGUCUGUGCUUCUCUCUCUCUGUCUCUCAUGAAUAAAUAAAUAAAAUCUUUAAAAAAUAUAUUGCUAUUAAUCAGUCAAUGUAUAUGUACCAGGAACAAAGUCAUCUCAUAAAUAUUGACUCUAAAUUAAAAAUACGUCUCUAACAUGCUAGCUUAUUCUUAUUUUUGCUACUUCUUGCACUUGAAUCAACAAAAGUACUUUUGAAAAUGUGGGUGGCCUUCAGUCUUGUUGAAAAGAAGAUAGCCAUCUUUGGGAUGCUUGCCUGGCUCAGCCGUUGAGCCUCUGCCUUCCUUUGGCUGGCUCGGGGUGUGACCCUGGGGUCCUGGGAUGGGGUCCUGGGAUGGAGUCCCACAUUGGGCUUCCCGCAGGAAGCCUGCUUCUCCCUCUGCCAGUGUGAGAGGCAGACGCUUCUCUCUGUGUGUCUCAUGAGUAAAUUAAUUUAAUUAAAAAAACGAAGAUAGCCAUCUUCUUUACUUCUUAGCUGUAAAGCAUUUUCAUGUUUAGAUUUAUAAACAACAAUUAGAACUAGCAAAUCAAACACAUUGGACUUCUUAAAUGUAUACAAUGUAUGUCAAUUGUAUCUCAGUAAAACUGGAAGAAAAAAGAAUUAGCAAUUCAAUGAAUUUUUCCUCUCUACAUCAUGAUUUCCUUCCAGUUAUAUUUGCAUAUACAUUCCCUUUAGCAUUUGUUGACUCGCAAACAUAUCAAGUGUAUAUGAUACAAAACAUCAAAAAAGAUGACAAAAUAUAUCAAAUCUUUUUUGGAUGGCUCAGGUUCUUGUUCCAAAAUAUUGAAUAAUGAAAUCAUUCCUGUUGAAUUGAUAAGAAUACCAUAAAUCUGCUUAAUAAAUAUAUAUUGUUGAAUUAACAAUUCUGGAGUUUGAGAAAAUUUAGGAUACCAUUAUCUAAAGACUCGUCAUUUGAGGUGUAGUGAUUACUUUUAAAAAAACCAACAACAACAAAUAAAAUCUUUAAAAAAUAAAGACUCAUCAUCUGAUAUUCCACUUGUAUGAUACAUUUUACCAUCAUCAUUAAAGCCUAGUGUCUUUUUACGUUUAUUUUAUAACUUUUCUAAUACUUUUGAAGUGUUUUCUUCCAUCAGUUUUCUUUGCCAUU
This 3634-nucleotide long non-coding RNA is filed under the name Canis lupus familiaris (dog). RNAcentral's name for it is "lncRNA (ENSCAFG00845011913.1)". The record is from RNAcentral. Lineage: Eukaryota; Metazoa; Chordata; Mammalia; Carnivora; Canidae.